AGAAUCAACGCUGGCGGCGUGCCUAACACAUGCAAGUCGAACGAGAAAGUGGAGCAAUCCAUGAGUAAAGUGGCGCACGGGUGAGUAACACGUGACUAACCUACCCUCGAGUGGGGAAUAACCUAGGGAAACCUGGGCUAAUACCGCAUAAUACCUACGGGUCAAAGGAGCAAUUCGCUUGAGCGAGGGGGUCGCGGCCGAUUAGUUAGUUGGCGGGGUAAUGGCCCACCAAGACGAUGAUCGGUAUCCGGCCUGAGAGGGCGGACGGACACACUGGAACUGAAACACGGUCCAGACUCCUACGGGAGGCAGCAGUGGGGAAUUUUGCGCAAUGGGGGAAACCCUGACGCAGCAACGCCGCGUGGAGGAUGAAGUCCCUUGGGACGUAAACUCCUUUCGAUCGGGACGAUUAUGACGGUACCGGAAGAAGAAGCCCCGGCUAACUUCGCGCCAGCAGCCGC
This 461-nucleotide ribosomal RNA is filed under the name uncultured bacterium. RNAcentral describes it as "SSU rRNA". It matches the Rfam family "Bacterial small subunit ribosomal RNA", at positions 26 to 518 of the family's 1533-position model. The record is from RNAcentral.